Magnolia sinica is the source of this 382-nucleotide long non-coding RNA. RefSeq lists it as uncharacterized. Lineage: Eukaryota; Viridiplantae; Streptophyta; Magnoliopsida; Magnoliales; Magnoliaceae. The transcript is spliced from 3 exons. The record is from RefSeq and is a predicted model, not a curated record.
CUCUCUCUCUCUCUCUCUCUCUCUCUCUCAAAACCUACCAAUUGUUGGGACAAGAGCCAUCAUAGACGUCGGUUGUAUUGGUAGUGGCACAUGGAUCAGAUGGUAAUUCGCCACCAGAAAUUGAUGUUGAGAUGCUGAUGGAUUCAAGGAUCCUUUGUUAGGAGAUUAGCGCAAGAAUUUCCUAUGUGGCAGGUUAAUCUGUCUACUGGUCAAAUGGUGGAUUUGAUACCUUGAUGCCUACCAAACAUAGCCAAUAGGCACAAUUAGUGGAAGGGACUGUUUGGUAGGUUGGAUUGGGAAGGAAACUUCCCCACUUCCAUCACGGACCCUCAGCCCAUGGGUAAGGUUGGCAUGUGCUUUCACCUAUGCCUGGUGUUUACUA